This 460-nucleotide ribosomal RNA is filed under the name uncultured bacterium. RNAcentral describes it as "partial 16S ribosomal RNA". It matches the Rfam family "Bacterial small subunit ribosomal RNA", at positions 338 to 795 of the family's 1533-position model. The record is from RNAcentral.
CCUACGGGUGACAGCAGUGAGGAAUAUUGGUCAAUGGACGAGAGUCUGAACCAGCCCAGUAGCGUGAAGGAUGACUGCCCUAUGGGUUGUAAACUUCUUUUAUAUGGGAAUAAAACGUUCCACGUGUGGGAUUUUGUAUGUACCAUAUGAAUAAGGAUCGGCUAACUCCGUGCCAGCAGCCGCGGUAAUACGGAGGAUCCGAGCGUUAUCCGGAUUUAUUGGGUUUAAAGGGAGCGUAGGUGGAUUGUUAAGUCAGUUGUGAAAGUUUGCGGCUCAACCGUAAAAUUGCAGUUGAAACUGGCAGUCUUGAGUACAGUAGAGGUGGGCGGAAUUCGUGGUGUAGCGGUGAAAUGCUUAGAUAUCACGAAGAACUCCGAUUGCGAAGGCAGUUCACUGGACUGCAACUGACACUGAGGCUCGAAAGUGUGGGUAUCAAACAGGAUUAGAUACCCCAGUAGUC